ACAUGCAGUCGAGCGGCCUGAGGAGCUUGUUCCGACGGUUAGCGGCGGACGGGUGAGUAACACGUGGGCAACCUGCCUGUAAGACUGGGAUAACUCCGGGAAACCGGGGCUAAUACCGGAUAAUUCAUUCUCUCUCAUGAGGGAGUGCUGAAAGACGGUUUCGGCUGUCACUUACAGAUGGGCCCGCGGCGCAUUAGCUAGUUGGUGAGGUAACGGCUCACCAAGGCCACGAUGCGUAGCCGACCUGAGAGGGUGAUCGGCCACACUGGGACUGAGACACGGCCCAGACUCCUACGGGAGGCAGCAGUAGGGAAUCUUCCGCAAUGGACGAAAGUCUGACGGAGCAACGCCGCGUGAGCGAAGAAGGCCUUCGGGUCGUAAAGCUCUGUUGUCA
This 394-nucleotide ribosomal RNA is filed under the name Bacillus sp. 1916BAB. RNAcentral's name for it is "bacterial SSU rRNA". It matches the Rfam family "Bacterial small subunit ribosomal RNA", at positions 53 to 441 of the family's 1533-position model. The record is from RNAcentral. Lineage: Bacteria; Bacillati; Bacillota; Bacilli; Caryophanales; Bacillaceae.